This 1527-nucleotide long non-coding RNA is filed under the name Mytilus galloprovincialis (Mediterranean mussel). The record is from RNAcentral. Lineage: Eukaryota; Metazoa; Mollusca; Bivalvia; Mytilida; Mytilidae.
GUUUGCUUUAAUACUUUAAUACUUUUAUCCUAUAUACAGAUUGUUUAGCAGUAUUAUCCUAAAUACAGAUUGUUUAGCAGUAGAGAGGCAAAUAUCAAUUUUAGUUUAUUUAAGUUUGCUCCGGACAUUGAUCUAACCAACAACCUCGAGCUCCCACUAACAUGUACAAGACCACUAUGAAGGUUACAAAUAACUAGAUGAUUAAAGUGUUGGUUGCUUAACAUCCAGUGGCAAAAUAUUUCAGCAUAUUCAGGACGAAAUGAAUAGCAAAGUGGCACUAAAAUGCACAGUUUAUUUUUUUUAAGCUCAGCAUUGUUUCAUACAGUUCAAUGGAUCACUCAUGUACUGUAAACAAACCUAACAACUCAAUAUAUUCAACUUUACAUAAGAAACAAAUUACUACAUGAUCUCAAAAACAAUUUAAACGUGUAUAAAAUAAACUAUCAACUAGUUGCACAAUGUCCAGAAUGAAAUUAUUUCAUGCAUAAUCAGGACAAUAUGUUAUGCAGGAGAAAGCAGUGUUUUACUUACUUACAACCCUUUGUGUCUAUUAAUGUUUGACAUUAUUUAUACAAAAAUCAUACUGAAAAUUCUGAAAUUAAUGUGAAGCUUUUAUGCAUGCUAAAUGUUUCACAGAAUUUUGCAAGGAAAAACACUCAAAUAAAAAUUGGUUGCCAGUACAUUUCAACAUAACAUGUUCAGGAAUUACAUUAAUUAUUCUCACAUUCUUGUUGGUUAGCAAAAAUGACUUAAAACAUUUAAUUCUGAUUUAAACUAUGUAGAUUAUAGUAUAUAAAAAAGAAGAUGUGGUAUGAUUGCCAAUGAGACAACUAUCCACAAAAGACCAAAAUGACACGGACAUUAACAACUAUAGGUCACCGUACAGCCUUCAACAAUGAGCAAUGCCCAUUGCCACAGUAAUCACUAAUGCAUAAAAAAGAUAACAGGAAAUACAACAAAAAUAAUAGACAGUAAAACAGACCACAACAACCACGAACAACAGACUCCCCCCCUCCCCCCGCCCCCCCAAAAAAGACUAACAAAAAGAAACAAGAACAUGCAACAUAUGAUCUAGGUAGUACUAAUAUGUACAGGCAAAAAAUGGGGUAGGGUUUAAAUAGUUUUGUGUGUGUAAAAAUGUACCCUUUAGUCUAUUUAGACCAUAUGUUGUAACAGUAAAACACAUUUGGGUGACCUACAAGAUUUCAAGGGAAUUCUAAUCUCAGAAAGGGACGGCAACAAAUAAAUGAUUAAUUAACAAAACAAAAAUGAUUUAGGAGACAGAAAUAAAUGUAUAAUUUUAAGAAAAUAUAAAAGUUUCUAAUGCUACGGUAGAACGUUUGAAAUGAAGGUAAGUUUCAAAAAGACAGAAAGGUUGCAAUACAAGAUUUCCCAUUUCAUAAACUUUGAAAGGUAAAUGUCUCAACAAAUUAUAAUAAUAAUAUGGAAUUUAUAUCAUAUGCUAAAAACAAUCGUAUUGAUGAAGACAGGGAAGAACAACUAAAAAAAAAAACAUCAGUCUUCUAU